UUUUGGACAAUGGGGGCAACCCUGAUCCAGCCAUGCCGCGUGAGUGAAGAAGGCCUUCGGGUUGUAAAGCUCUUUCGGACGGAACGAAAUGGGCGGGACUAAUACUCCUGUCUGAUGACGGUACCGUAAGAAGAAGCACCGGCUAACUACGUGCCAGCAGCCGCGGUAAUACGUAGGGUGCGAGCGUUAAUCGGAAUUACUGGGCGUAAAGCGUGCGCAGGCGGUUUCGUAAGCUGGAGGUAAAUCCCCGGGCUUAACCUGGGAAUGGCCUUCAGACUGCAGGCAAGUGCGGCAAGGGAGGUGAAUUCCACGUGAGCAGUAAAUGCGAAGUGUGAGAACACCAUGGCAAGGAGCCUCCUGGCAGACUGCGUAUGCAA
This 377-nucleotide ribosomal RNA is filed under the name uncultured bacterium. RNAcentral's name for it is "bacterial SSU rRNA". It matches the Rfam family "Bacterial small subunit ribosomal RNA", at positions 362 to 748 of the family's 1533-position model. The record is from RNAcentral.